UCUUUUGUUCACCAAAAGC
This 19-nucleotide small nuclear RNA is filed under the name Arabidopsis thaliana (thale cress). RNAcentral's name for it is "snRNA_12857". Lineage: Eukaryota; Viridiplantae; Streptophyta; Magnoliopsida; Brassicales; Brassicaceae. The record is from RNAcentral.